CAGCAGCCGCGGUAAAACGGAGGGAGCUAGCGUUGUUCGGAAUCACUGGGCGUAAAGCGCACGUAGGCGGCUAUUCAAGUCAGGGGUGAAAGCCCGGGGCUCAACCCCGGAACUGCCUUUGAAACUAGAUAGCUUGAAUCUUGGAGAGGCGAGUGGAAUUCCGAGUGUAGAGGUGAAAUUCGUAGAUAUUCGGAAGAACACCAGUGGCGAAGGCGACUCGCUGGACAAGUAUUGACGCUGAGGUGCGAAAGCGUGGGGAGCAAACAGGAUUAGAUACCCGUGUAGUCCCUGUCUCUUUACA
This 301-nucleotide ribosomal RNA is filed under the name uncultured bacterium. RNAcentral's name for it is "partial 16S ribosomal RNA". It matches the Rfam family "Bacterial small subunit ribosomal RNA", at positions 509 to 808 of the family's 1533-position model. The record is from RNAcentral.